UGUGAGUAUGUGAAGUGAAGACUGUUGGGCAGGAUGAACAGCUGGCACUGCUCAACGUUGCAACAAAGAAGAGCAACACAAACUAGAAAAAGGACUCUGGGAAAUAGUCAGAAAACCUGAUUUACGAACUGUAGAGAGUGAAAUGCGCUCAAUAAGGAAUGUAGAAUGAAAUUAAAUGGGAUUAAAAAGCUGAAAAACGUACAAAACAAACAGACAAACACCAAAACUGAAAUGUUUUCCUGUGUGAAGAAAAAAACCCCACAGAUGGUUGCCUGGCUUGUGACGUAACGAGCGCAGCAACAGGCCAGUCUCGGUCCUCCUAUUGGUCAAUGCGCUUCGCUGUUCUACGCUGAUUGGUCGGUUCCCGCCAGACCUGAACUACUUAUUCUUGCUGGCGAGGCCAUUUUGUUGUGAGAGAGAGAGACGGAGGAGAGGAGAGGAGAGAGGAGUAAUCCGGGCUGCUAGUUUCGGGAAUUUAGAGGAUUUUUACACACCGUGUGAGGAACUUCUUCCCCCAGAGCUGCAGCAGAAAUAACCAGCCUGUAUCAGACGCCUGGCUUUCGCCAUCAGAACCCGGAGGAAGUCGAUCCGCGGCUUCCCAGUGCGCCGUGUGCUGGGGUGAACUGAUGUUCAGCUCGGCUUCACGACCAAACAUCGCUUGCUGGCACAUGAAAACCUCAGACACUGUGGGCCUAAAGCGUGCAGUGAGAAGUAGAUCGACUACUUCGAGGACCUGGAGCCCGAUUGGUGAGGAGAAAUUAAGAAAUAGAGACAUCUACGCACUCAGCUUCAACACAAAGAGGUGACAUCCAGUGUGU
RNAcentral lists this long non-coding RNA (818 nucleotides) under Astyanax mexicanus (Mexican tetra). RNAcentral describes it as "lncRNA (ENSAMXG00005000145.1)". Lineage: Eukaryota; Metazoa; Chordata; Actinopteri; Characiformes; Acestrorhamphidae. The record is from RNAcentral.